CAGCAGCCGCGGUAAUACCGGCGGCCCGAGUGGCGGUCACUAUUAUUGGGCUUAAAACGUCCGUAGCCGGGUUGGGAAGUCCUCCGGGAAAUCUGGCCGCUUAACGGUCAGAAUGCCGGAGGAUACUCCCAGCCUAGGGAGCGGGAGAGGCCGAGGGGAUUCCCGGAGUAGGGGUGAAAUCCUAUAAUCCCGGGAGGACCACCUGUGGCGAAGGCGCUCGGCUGGAACGCGUCCGACGGUGAGGGACGAAGGCCAGGGGAGCAAACCGGAUUAGAUACCCGGGUAGUCCUGGCUGUAAACGAUGCGGACUUUGUGUCGGACAAGCUAUGAGCUUGUCCGGUGCCGGAGGGAAACCGUUAAGUCCGUCGCCUGGGGAGUACGGCCGCAAGGCUGAAACUUAAAGGAAUUGGCGGG
Molecule: ribosomal RNA, 414 nt
Filed under: uncultured microorganism
Description: bacterial SSU rRNA
Rfam family: Archaeal small subunit ribosomal RNA
Source: RNAcentral